CAACUCAUAAUUGCCCAAUCCUCUUCUUCUCUCCUCAUGGCAGAUCUCAAGCCCAAAUCUGAGAUUUCCUUCGCUGAAGUCUUCCUCUGCAGUGCCUUCGCCGCUUGUUUUGCCGAGUUCUGUACCAUUCCUCUGGACACUGCCAAAGUUAGGCUUCAGCUCCAACGCAAAGCUUCUACUGGGGAUGGAGUAAUACCCAAAUAUGGGGGUUUAUUGGGUACUGUGGCUACUAUUGCUAGGGAAGAAGGUUUAGCAGCACUUUGGAAGGGCAUCACUGCAGGAUUAAACCUCCAUAAAUGAACUGGCGA
This 308-nucleotide unclassified non-coding RNA is filed under the name Hevea brasiliensis (rubber tree). Lineage: Eukaryota; Viridiplantae; Streptophyta; Magnoliopsida; Malpighiales; Euphorbiaceae. The record is from RNAcentral.